GUGGGGAAUCUUAGACAAUGGGGGAAACCCUGAUCUAGCCAUGCCGCGUGAGCGAUGAAGGCCUUAGGGUUGUAAAGCUCUUUCAGCUGGGAAGAUAAUGACGGUACCAGCAGAAGAAGCCCCGGCUAACUCCGUGCCAGCAGCCGCGGUAAUACGGAGGGGGCUAGCGUUGUUCGGAAUUACUGGGCGUAAAGCGCACGUAGGCGGACUGGAAAGUUGGGGGUGAAAUCCCGGGGCUCAACCCCGGAACUGCCUUCAAAACUCCCAGUCUGGAGUUCGAGAGAGGUGAGUGGAAUUCCGAGUGUAGAGGUGAAAUUCGUAGAUAUUCGGAGGAACACCAGUGGCGAAGGCGGCUCACUGGCUCGAUACUGACGCUGAGGUGCGAAAGCGUGGGGAGCAAACAGGAUUAGAAACCCCAGUAGUCC
Molecule: ribosomal RNA, 425 nt
Filed under: uncultured bacterium
Lineage: Bacteria
Description: bacterial SSU rRNA
Rfam family: Bacterial small subunit ribosomal RNA
Source: RNAcentral